UACGAGGGGGGCAAGCGUUGUUCGGAAUUAUUGGGCGUAAAGGGCGCGUAGGCGGUGCGGUAAGUCUGAUGUGAAAUCUCCGGGCUUAACUCGGAGCCUGCAGGCGAAACUGUGGUGCUGGAGUGUGGGAGAGGUGCGUGGAAUUCCCGGUGUAGCGGUGAAAUGCGUAGAUAUCAGGAGGAACACCUGUGGCGAAAGCGGCUCACUGGACCAUAACUGACGCUGAUGCACGAAAGCUAGGGGAGCAAACAGG
Molecule: ribosomal RNA, 253 nt
Filed under: uncultured bacterium
Lineage: Bacteria
Description: partial 16S ribosomal RNA
Rfam family: Bacterial small subunit ribosomal RNA
Source: RNAcentral